This 503-nucleotide ribosomal RNA is filed under the name uncultured bacterium. Its description in RNAcentral is "bacterial SSU rRNA". It matches the Rfam family "Bacterial small subunit ribosomal RNA", at positions 29 to 526 of the family's 1533-position model. The record is from RNAcentral.
AGCGAACGUUUGCGGCGGGCUUAACACAUGCAAGUCGAACGAGAAUCCCUUCGGGGAGGAAAGUGGCGCACGGGUGCGUAACACGUGGAUAACCAACCCAUUGGUUGGGACGAACACCGGGAAACUGGUGCUAAUACCAGAUGUGUCGCAGCUGUCUUCAGGCGGUUGCGAGAAAGGCCCGCAAGGGUCGCCAACGGACGGGUCCGCGUCCCAUCAGCUAGUUGGUGAGGUAAUGGCUCACCAAGGCAAAGACGGGUAGCUGGUCUGAGAGGAUGAUCAGCCACACUGGAACUGAGACACGGUCCAGACUCCUACGGGAGGCAGCAGUGGGGAAUAUUGCGCAAUGGGCGAAAGCCUGACGCAGCCACGCCGCGUGAGCGAUGAAGGUCUUCGGAUCGUAAAGCUCUGUGGGGGGAGAAGAAGAAAGCCGGUGAAGAGCCGGCCCUGACGGUAUCCCCUUAGCAAGCACCGGCUAACUCCGUGCCAGCAGGCCGCGGUAAAGU